RNAcentral lists this long non-coding RNA (1201 nucleotides) under Homo sapiens (human). Its description in RNAcentral is "HSALNT0280114". The record is from RNAcentral. Lineage: Eukaryota; Metazoa; Chordata; Mammalia; Primates; Hominidae.
GCCAAAUGUCCACAGUAGUCUCCAGAUAUUGCCAAAUGUCCACAGUAGUCUCCAGAUAUUGCCAAAUGUCCACAGGAACCAAAAUCACCCCUAGUUGAGAACCACUGCUCUAGAGCCCAAGAAUCUCUCAAGGGAUUGUACUUUAGGAUGGAACUUCUGAGUCAUAGAGCAUGUGUAUCUUCAAGUUUUUGAGAUAAUGCAAACAUAUUUUCCCAAGAAAAUGAUCAAGUUUACAGCACCACCAACAGUGCAGAAGUGCAUUAUUGCUCCACUUCUUAAAAUCUCUUAGAAAAAGCAUAAAUGAUGAUGUAUGACUUCGAGACUUUCUCUUUUGGAUCAUCGAUUCUGGAGGAAGCCAACUGUCAAAUUGCCAUAUGGAAAGACCUAUGUUUUGAGGAACUGAUGCCUCCAGUCAACAGCCAGACAGGAACUGAAGUCUCUUGCAGACAGCAGUGUAAGUGAGCUUGGAAGUAGAUCCACUAACCCCAGUCAAGCUUUCAGGUCGCUACAUCCUCAGCUGACAUCUUGAUUGCAACCUCACAAAAGACCAUGAACAGAACCAUAUAACUAAGCUUCUCUUGAAUGCUUGACCUGCAGAAACUAACAAGCAUUGAAUUGGGAAAUAGAAGACCUGACGUCUAGACCUAUGAAGUGUUGGACCUGGUAAAACGUAGUGCCUCAAACUCCUUAUCUGUAACUUGAGGGAUGUUCCUAAGGUUCUUUAAAGCUCUAAAACAAUUUAUGGUUUCCUAUUGUUCCCUAUAUAUUUGUGGUUCUUUGUUAUCUCAGGGACUUUCUCCACGCUAGUUCCUUUAAAUUUUGUAAGUCUCCAAAACUGCCUGGUUCCUUUCUGAUGCAACAAUAAAUACUUAUAUCUGCAUUGCACUAAAUAAUUUGUCAAAAGCCUUCACAAGCACAAUUGCUUUUGAUUUUCAUAAUAAUACUUCCUGAUAGACAUUAUUUUCCCCGUUGUAUAAAUGAGAACACUGAGGUUCAGAGAGGUCCCAUGACUAAUAAGUAGAGUGUCAAGUGGUGGACCCACAUCUUUCGACUCCAAGUCCAAUGUUCUUUUCACUUCUCUACAAUGUCAGGAAAAGAACCUAGAAGGAUGCACAGUUUUGUGUUUUUGUACAAGAUAAACAAGAAUAUAAAUUAGUAUUUGAAUAUUCAUUACAAGUUUUUGGCCUGGUCUCCAGACAAA